GCGGGUCGUCUCCUGUGUAUGCAGGGUCGUUCUGCAGCGUCUCUGGGAGAUGGCGUCCCUGGGAGCCCUCAGGUCGCCCCUACCCGCUGCGGGGUGCUUUCCUGGCGUCACGCCUUCCUGGCCCCUGGAGGGAAGGAAGUGAAACUCUCCUCUUCCCCCACCCGGCUGGAAUGCGAGUCAGGAAGCCUGGGGCUCCAGCCUGCUCCGGCUGCCCGGGUCGGGGAUGGGGAGGGGCGUGGCCGGAGCGCAAAGCCCCGCCCCUCCGCGCCCCCCCCCCGGAAGCCCCGCCGCCGGCCGCUAAGGCGAUCACGGGCCCUGUCCUAAUAUGGGCAACCGGAAGCGGCCCGCGCGACUGC
RNAcentral lists this long non-coding RNA (356 nucleotides) under Homo sapiens (human). RNAcentral's name for it is "LHRI_LNC329.1". Lineage: Eukaryota; Metazoa; Chordata; Mammalia; Primates; Hominidae. The record is from RNAcentral.